RNAcentral lists this transfer RNA (77 nucleotides) under Candidatus Saccharimonadota bacterium. RNAcentral describes it as "tRNA-Arg". It matches the Rfam family "tRNA". Rfam says of the family: Transfer RNA (tRNA) molecules are approximately 80 nucleotides in length. Their secondary structure includes four short double-helical elements and three loops (D, anti-codon, and T loops). The record is from RNAcentral. Lineage: Bacteria; Candidatus Saccharimonadota.
GCCUCCUUAGCUCAGCGGAUUAGAGCGCCUGUCUUCGGAACAGGAGGUCGUAGGUUCGAAUCCUGCAGGGGGCACCA